UACAGAGGGGGCAAGCGUUGUUCGGAUUCAUUGGGCGUAAAGCGCGCGUAGGCGGCUCGGAAAGUCGGUCGUGAAAUGCCGGGGCUCAACCCCGGGACUGCGUCCGAUACUCCCGAGCUGGAGGCAGGUAGGGGAGAUCGGAAUUCCUGGUGUAGCGGUGAAAUGCGCAGAUAUCAGGAGGAACACCGGUGGCGAAGGCGGAUCUCUGGGCCUUGCCUGACGCUGAGGCGCGAAAGCUAGGGGAGCGAACAGG
Molecule: ribosomal RNA, 253 nt
Filed under: uncultured bacterium
Lineage: Bacteria
Description: partial 16S ribosomal RNA
Rfam family: Bacterial small subunit ribosomal RNA
Source: RNAcentral